CGGGUGGCGACCGGCGAACGGGUGCGUAACACGUGAGCGACCUGCCUUCCUGCGGGGGAUAGCCGGCCCAACGGCCGGGUAAUACCGCAUACGCUCGCUUUCUCGCAUGGGAGAGCGAGGAAACUUCCGGGGCGGGAAGAGGGGCUCGCGGCCUAUCAGCUAGUUGGCGGGGUAACGGCCCACCAAGGCGACGACGGGUAGCUGGUCUGAGAGGAUGGCCAGCCACAUUGGGACUGAGAGACGGCCCAGACUCCUACGGGAGGCAGCAGUGGGGAAUCUUGCGCAAUGGCCGAGAGGCUGACGCAGCGACGCCGCGUGCGGGAUGACGGCCUUCGGGUUGUAAACCGCUGUUGCCCGGGACGAACGGCCCGAUACGUCGGGCGUGACGGUACCGGGUGAGGAAGCACCGGCUAACUCCGUGCCAGCAGCCGCGGUAAUACGGAGGGUGCGAGCGUUG
RNAcentral lists this ribosomal RNA (457 nucleotides) under uncultured bacterium. RNAcentral's name for it is "bacterial SSU rRNA". It matches the Rfam family "Bacterial small subunit ribosomal RNA", at positions 85 to 543 of the family's 1533-position model. The record is from RNAcentral.